Long non-coding RNA from Triticum aestivum (bread wheat), 2656 nucleotides. RefSeq lists it as uncharacterized. The transcript is spliced from 4 exons. The record is from RefSeq and is a predicted model, not a curated record. NCBI's taxonomy places the organism in Eukaryota, Viridiplantae, Streptophyta, Magnoliopsida, Poales, Poaceae.
GCUCACCCGCGCAAACCCUAGCUCCUCUUGAUCUCGUCCCCUUCCUCCCCGCCAGCUCUCCUCGAUCUCGUCGGAGCGGGCGGAGAUCAGGUCGCGGCGAUUCCCCACCCCACCCAGCCACCAAACCCUAGCCCACCCGCAUCCAUCCGCGUCCAUCCGCAUCCCCACUCCUCCACCGCACCCAUCCGCAUCCCCACUCCAAGAUCCAAUCCAAGGGGUUGCCCUUCUUGGCGUUCGCCUCCGCGGCGCCGAAGGCCGCGCCGCCACGACCAGGAGGGUCUCGCUCAGCGGGGCCGCACCCACGACCUGCUACCCCGCGCCUGCACCAACUCCGGUGCUGUGGCCAGGAGGGUCUCGCUCCAUGGGGCCGCACCCACGGCCUGCUACUCUGGCGCUGCGGCCAAGAGGGUCUCGCUUCGGCGCUGCUCCAGCCGCUGCUCCCGUCCUGGCGCGGGCGCCAAGGCCGUCCCCGCCCAUCUCUGGUUGUGUGCAGGCAGGUGACCAGCAGGAGCACGUAGGAGGGGUCCUUCGGUUGCCGCCAUGGCUCAGAUCUUGCUCCAUGGAAACCUCCACGUCAACAUCUUUGAGGCCUCGUCGCUCUCCCACCCCGGCCGCGCCAGCGGCCGCGCCCCCAAGUUCAUCCGCAAGGUACAUGAAGGCCGGGAGCGCCAAGGCACACCUCGCGCACGGGUCGAUCAUGGUGUACCAGCUUUGCAAGGGCGUUUCUUUUUGCCACGGACGCGGUGUCCGGCACCAUGAACUUGAGCCACACAACCUGGAAAUUGGUGGACGGGUUGGUAUCCUCUAGUUUGAUCCCAGCAAGAGGAAGUGUUCUCUUCUCUUUAUCAACCACAAAGGCACUUUCUUCUCUCAUGGAUGGAUGGGACUCCAUCAAUUUAGUAUCAGUUUAGGUGUUAGUAUGUUGUUGAUGCUUGUGUUGAUGUCAUGCUUUUUGUCUUGUCAUGUGCUGAUAUUAACUGGCAGCAUUAUCUCCCAUGAUUGCUUGCUUGCUUGCUUACUCUAUAACCUAUACUGCUAAAACAUGUUAUCCUACUCCAUGAUGCUAUAUCAUUUGCAAAUACUCCUGGACAUUAGCUCCCAUGAUGUUGCAUUAGCUAUAAUCUGUACUGCUAAAAGAGGAGUGUAAAAUGGAGUAAUUUUUUCGGCCAUUAUCUUUGUUUUCUUUUGGGCGGAUGCUCUCCACUUGAGUACAGCUGGGUACUGCAUCUCUUUUUGCAUUCCUUUUUCAGUCAGUGCUUGAACAUUUUUUUAAAGAUGAAUUGGAAUACUUCUGAAUAGCAGUACAUGGAGUAUAGCUGUAACUUCUUGCAGUAUAGCUGUAGCAGUCCAUUAGGAGUAGUUUUGCAUCAGUAGCAUUAGGAGUAACUUCUUGCAGAAACUCUUUGACACAUAUUCUCAUGCAUCAGUAGCAUGUUUGCUUGUUUUGGAGCAGCGAUUAAACUACUCCAUGUUAAAUAAACCUUGCUAGGUGAAUCUUUUCCAUUAAUUAAAUUUGUACUACUUGGAGUACUUCUUUUCAUGGAGCUGCUUGUAGUAAUUUCUGAUUUGCAGUCAGAUUAGCUUGGAGCAGUAGCAUUGCUUGCUCUGCUAUUCUCUUCUCUUCUCUUCUUUUAAUUAAAAUUAACUAAACCUUUUCCUUUAAUAAAAUUAGCUAAAACUUUUCCAGUUAAUUAAAAAUAACUGGAACUAUUCCUUUAAUGCUUGCAUAAAUCGUUUUAAAGAUGAAUUGGAGUACUCCUUUAAUGAAGGUUUUGUGUAGUCUAUUGCUUGCAUCAGUACUUUUAAAAAUAAAUGAAUUAUUUCAUUUAAGUGUACUCUGGACAGCAGUAGUAUAGCACUUGCUGCUGCUGUUAAGCUUGCAUCAGUACUGGUUGCAGUAGUUUAGUGUAGGACAACAGUAGUAUAGGACUUGGUUACUGCUGUUAAGUUUUUCUUUCUCUUCUCUCUUCUCUUCUCUUUGUCUGCUGGAGUAAACUUUUCCAGUAUACUCCUAGGAGUAAACUUUCUGUGCUGGAGUAGGAAUUGCUCUCAGGAGUAGCAGCAGUGAUUUGUUUAACAGCAGCAACAACAACAGUGCAUAUCAAUUUAUCAUGCUGACAACAGUAGUGCACACCAAUUUGGAACUGAUGCAUAUCAAUACAGUAGUGCACAAAGUUCAUCAAACAUCAUGCAAGUUCGAUGCAUAUCAAUUUAUCAUGCUGAGAAUAGAAGCAUGUGGACCUAUCAUCGUGAUUUCGUAUUUCAGUUUGUGGUAAUCUAAUGAUGUUUGAUGUCUAUUGGUUGCUGUAUAUGGGCAAGAUGAAUUGAAUCCUGUUGUUUUCUUUUUGAUGUAUACACAUGCAGAUGGUUGACACUCAUGAACAGCAAGCAACCAUACAUGCUGGCCUUUCAUGUUUCUUCACGAGCAUUAAGACAAAGAAGUUGGAAGAAGCUAGUUGGAGGUAGUUCUGGGAGUAAUGAAACCCUUUAGGCUGAUCCUAUUUGUAUGUGUGAUGUAGCAGAACUUGUAGGGCUCAUGUGAUAGAGCUGUUAUCUAAAUGUAUGUGGUAGACUGUACACUUGUAGAGCUGUUAUCUAAUUGUAAACUUGAUGCUGAUCACAUUUGUAUGUAUGUUAUCUGAUAUAGCAGAUUGCU